UACGUAGGGGGCAAGCGUUGUCCGGAAUCAUUGGGCGUAAAGCGCGUGUAGGCGGCACGGUAAGUCCGGUGUGAAAACUUGGGGCUCAACCCCAAGCCUGCACCGGAUACUGCCGCGCUCGAGUCCGGGAGAGGGAAGCGGAAUUCCUAGUGUAGCGGUGAAAUGCGCAGAUAUUAGGAAGAACACCGGUGGCGAAGGCGGCUUCCUGGAACGGUACUGACGCUGAGACGCGAAAGCGUGGGGAGCGAACAGG
This 253-nucleotide ribosomal RNA is filed under the name uncultured bacterium. RNAcentral describes it as "partial 16S ribosomal RNA". It matches the Rfam family "Bacterial small subunit ribosomal RNA", at positions 524 to 776 of the family's 1533-position model. The record is from RNAcentral.